UAUCUUUGUGUGGAAGUAAAAAACCCAAGGAUUAUACGUAUGCUCAACUUGGACAAAAUCGAAGAUGGUUUACACAGAAGCAGAUCCUACCUACCUACCUACCCUACCUACCUACCUACCUGACGACCUACUUGACAUUCCACUAAUACUGCAACCCAAUCCAGUACAACCCAGUGGAAGAAUGACCAGAAAUGCAAAAAUAUUUCAAGAAACUAUGGGAUAUCUUCUCGUCGUAGUCAACAUGAGACACAUUCUCUUGAAGGUUCUACCGAAAAGCAAAGAGGGGGUGAUCGGAAAGGAGCAAAAUGUUCAAGAAAACACUUAAUGACUAACUGUAAUAACUGAAAAUGAAGGUUUUUCUAAUAAAGGCAAGUGCCAUACCGUAUUAAUAUAUUUU
This 397-nucleotide long non-coding RNA is filed under the name Pectinophora gossypiella (pink bollworm). Its description in RNAcentral is "uncharacterized LOC126373404". The record is from RNAcentral. Lineage: Eukaryota; Metazoa; Arthropoda; Insecta; Lepidoptera; Gelechiidae.